This 501-nucleotide ribosomal RNA is filed under the name uncultured bacterium. Its description in RNAcentral is "partial 16S ribosomal RNA". It matches the Rfam family "Bacterial small subunit ribosomal RNA", at positions 29 to 523 of the family's 1533-position model. The record is from RNAcentral.
AUUGAACGCUGGCGGCAUGCCUUACACAUGCAAGUCGAACGGCAGCACGGGUGCUUGCACCUGGUGGCGAGUGGCGAACGGGUGAGUAAUACAUCGGAACGUACCUUAUCGUGGGGGAUAACGCAGCGAAAGCUGUGCUAAUACCGCAUACGCCCUGAGGGGGAAAGCGGGGGAUCGAAAGACCUCGCGCGAUUAGAGCGGCCGAUGCCUGAUUAGCUUGUUGGUGGGGUAAAAGCCCACAAAGGCGACGAUCAGCAGCUGGACUGAGAGGACGAACAGCCACACUGGGGCUGAGACACGGCACAGACUCCUACGGGAGGCAGCAGUGGGGAAUUUUGGACAAUGGGGGCAACCCUGAUCCAGCAAUGCCGCGUGAGUGAAGAAGGCCUUCGGGUUGUAAAGCUCUUUUGUCAGGGAAGAAACACCGGCUCUAACACAGUCCGGGAAUGACGGUACCUGAAGAAUAAGCACCGGCUAACUACGUGCCAGCCGCCGCGGUAA